ACCACUACUGAUAAGGGAGCUGCCUUACCGCAGUAGGAGCUAAUGCCCCCAAGUUCUGAGAGAAUUUAUUUAGGUCAGCAAAGUGGUGCCUUGCCCAGACUAAAACUCUGGA
Molecule: non-coding RNA, 112 nt
Organism: Ceratotherium simum simum (southern white rhinoceros)
Lineage: Eukaryota; Metazoa; Chordata; Mammalia; Perissodactyla; Rhinocerotidae
Source: RefSeq, a predicted model, not a curated record